AACGCACAUUGCGCCCAUUGGUAUUCCGAUGGGCAUGCCUGUUCGAGCGUCAUUAUCCUCUCUCAAACCUCCGGGUUUGGUGUUGGACCCGCGUUGCGCCCUCGUGCGCAACUGGUCUCAAAGACAAUGACGGCGUCCGUGGGGACCCUCUUCGCAACGAGCUUCUUCGGAGCACGCGUCGAGUUUCAAGGAUCCCGCGGGCCGGUCUGAACCCCAUUUUUUUACAAGGUUGACCUCGGAUCAGGUAGGAAUACCCGCUGAACUUAA
This 267-nucleotide unclassified non-coding RNA is filed under the name uncultured fungus. Its description in RNAcentral is "partial contains 5.8S ribosomal RNA, internal transcribed spacer 2, and large subunit ribosomal RNA". The stretch from base 1 to 52 matches the Rfam family "5.8S ribosomal RNA", at positions 103 to 154 of the family's 154-position model. Lineage: Eukaryota; Fungi. The record is from RNAcentral.